RNAcentral lists this ribosomal RNA (492 nucleotides) under uncultured beta proteobacterium. RNAcentral describes it as "bacterial SSU rRNA". It matches the Rfam family "Bacterial small subunit ribosomal RNA", at positions 8 to 501 of the family's 1533-position model. Lineage: Bacteria; Pseudomonadati; Pseudomonadota; Betaproteobacteria. The record is from RNAcentral.
AGAGUUUGAUCAUGGCUCAGAUUGAACGCUGGCGGCAGCCUUACACACUGCAAGUCGGACGGCAGCACGGGGGCAACCCUGGUGGCGAGUGGCGAACGGGUGAGUAAUACAUCGGAACGUGUCCUGUGGGGGAUAGCCCGGCGAAAGCCGGAUUAAUACCGCAUACGCUCUGGGGAUGAGGAAAGCGGGGGAUUCUGGACCUCGCGCUACAGGGGCGGCCGAUGCAGAUUAGCUAGUUGGUGGGGUAAUGGCCUACCAAGGCGACGAUCUGUAGCUGUCUGAGAGGACGACCAGCCACACUGGGACUGAGACUACGAGCCCAGACUCCUACGGGAGGCAGCAGUGGGGAAUUUUGGACAAUGGGGGAACCCUGAUCAGCAGCCAUGCGCGUGUGGAAGGCCUUCGGGUUGUAAAGCACUUUUUCCGGGAAGAAAUCCUUUCGCCUAAUACCGGGGAGGGAUGACGGUACCGGAAGAAUAAGCACCGGCUAAG